This 912-nucleotide ribosomal RNA is filed under the name Pleurothecium guttulatum. Its description in RNAcentral is "SSU rRNA". It matches the Rfam family "Eukaryotic small subunit ribosomal RNA", at positions 138 to 1060 of the family's 1831-position model. Lineage: Eukaryota; Fungi; Ascomycota; Sordariomycetes; Pleurotheciales; Pleurotheciaceae. The record is from RNAcentral.
CAUGGAUAACAGUGGUAAUUCUAGAGCUAAUACAUGCUGAAAAUCCCGACUUCGGAAGGGACGUAUUUAUUAGAAUCAGAACCAAUGCCCUUCGGGGUUCUUUGGUGAAUCAUGAUAACUCCACAGAUCGCAUGGCCUUGCGCCGGCGAUGGCUCAUUCAAAUUUCUUCCCUAUCAACUUUCGACGGUACGGUCUUGGCCUACCGUGGUUGCAACGGGUGACGGAGGGUUAGGGCUCGACCCCGGAGAAGGAGCCUGAGAAACGGCUACUACAUCCAAGGAAGGCAGCAGGCGCGCAAAUUAUCCAAUCCCGACUCGGGGAGAUAGUGACAAUAAAUACCGAUACAGGGCUCUUUUGGGCCCUGUAAUUGGAAUGAGUACAAUUUAAACCUCUUAACGAGGAACAAUUGGAGGGCAAGUCUGGUGCCAGCAGCCGCGGUAAUUCCAGCUCCAAUAGCGUAUAUUAAAGUUGUUGUGGUUAAAAAGCUCGUAGUCGAACCUCGAGCCUGGCCGGCCGGUCCGCCUCACCGCGUGCACUGGUCUGGCCGGGCUCUUCCCUCUGCGGAACCGCAUGCCCUUCACUGGGCGUGUCGGGGAGGCAGGACUUUUACUUUGAAAAAAUUAGAGUGCUCAAGGCAGGCCAAUGCUCGAAUACAUUAGCAUGGAAUAAUAGAAUAGGACGUUGGUUCUAUUUUGUUGGUUUCUAGGACCGCCGUAAUGAUCAAUAGGGACGGUCGGGGGCAUCAGUAUUCAGCCGUCAGAGGUGAAAUUCUUGGACCGGCUGAAGACUAACUACUGCGAAAGCAUUUGCCAAGGACGUUUUCGCUGAUCAGGAACGAAAGUUAGGGGAUCGAAGACGAUCAGAUACCGUCGUAGUCUUAACCAUAAACUAUGCCGACUAGGGAUCGGGCGG